This 6994-nucleotide unclassified non-coding RNA is filed under the name Hevea brasiliensis (rubber tree). The record is from RNAcentral. Lineage: Eukaryota; Viridiplantae; Streptophyta; Magnoliopsida; Malpighiales; Euphorbiaceae.
AUCUAUGACUACGAAAACGUAAUACCCGUUCGAGAAACGGAGAGGAAAAAAAAUAAAAUUAAAAAGUAAAAAUAAAUAUCUCUCUCUCCAUUGCCUUUCUCAGCUUCUUCUUCAUGCUCCCUUCUCUUCUACGGGGAAUUUGAUGUUUUGACUCUGUCUACAAGGUAGAUCUGGAGAAGGGCACAGUAUUUGAUUGAUUUGUUUUUGGUUGGGAAUCUUGAAGUGAAGUAAAGCUGGCGGCUACACUGGCUUGGAGGUUUGCUGCCACCAAUGGCAGCAGCCUUGGUGCUAACGACAUGGAAAAAAAUGUUGAUGGAAAACCUCAAGAUUCUGAGCCCCCAACUCCAUAUUCAACUACGAAGAUGGGUUUGAGAGACCGUAGUAGUAGUAGCAUGGAGGAUCCAGAUGGGACAUUAGCAAGUGUUGCACAAUGCAUUGAACAGUUGCGGCAGAGUUCCUCAUCUGGACAAGAGAAAGAGUAUUCCUUGAGGCAGUUGCUAGAACUUAUUGAAACACGGGAAAAUGCUUUCAGUGCUGUUGGAUCUCACUCUCAAGCAGUUCCAGUGCUUGUUUCUCUUCUCCGAUCAGGAUCACUUGGAGUGAAGAUACAGGCUGCUACUGUUUUAGGAUCUCUAUGCAAGGAGAAUGAGCUAAGGGUAAAAGUCUUGCUUGGAGGAUGCAUUCCACCAUUACUUGGUCUCCUCAAGUCAAGCUCUGCAGAAGGUCAAAUUGCAGCGGCAAAGACGAUAUAUGCUGUUUCUCAGGGUGGUGCUAGAGAUCAUGUUGGAUCAAAAAUUUUUUCAACUGAAGGAGUUGUGCCAGUGCUCUGGGAGCUGCUUCAGAAAGGGCUCAAGACUGGCAACUUGGUUGAUAACUUGUUGACUGGAGCACUAAAAAACCUCUCUAGCAGCACUGAGGGAUUUUGGUCUGCAACAAUACAGGCUGGCGGAGUAGAUAUACUUGUGAAGUUGCUCACAACUGGACAGUCAGGAACUCAAGCCAAUGUCUGCUUUCUUCUUGCUUGUAUGAUGAUGGAGGAUGAAACUAUUUGUUCUAAGGUAUUGGCAGCAGAGGCCACUAAACAACUGCUUAUGCUAUUAGGACCUGGAAAUGAAGCUCCUGUUAGAGCAGAAGCUGCAGGUGCUCUUAAGUCUCUUUCUGCUCAAUGUAAAGAAGCAAGACGAGAGAUAGCUAAUUCUAAUGGUAUUCCUGCCUUGAUAAAUGCCACAAUAGCUCCCUCAAAAGAAUUCAUGCAGGGUGAGUAUGCCCAAGCCUUACAGGAGAAUGCCAUGUGUGCUCUUGCAAACAUUUCAGGCGGUUUAUCAUAUGUAAUCUCAAGCCUUGGUCAAAGCCUUGAAUCAUGUUCUUCACCUGCCCAGACUGCUGACACCUUGGGGGCUUUAGCUUCAGCGCUGAUGAUAUAUGAUAGCAAAGCCGAAUCUACAAGAGCAUCAGAUCCUGUGGCUGUUGAGCAGACUUUGGUUAAACAGUUCAAGCCUCGCUUACCAUUUCUUGUGCAGGAACGAACUAUUGAAGCUUUAGCCAGUUUGUAUGGAAAUUCCAUACUUUCCAUUAAACUUGUAAAUUCUGAAGCAAAACGAUUGCUUGUUGGUUUGAUCACAAUGGCGACCAAUGAAGUUCAGGAUGAGCUUAUAAGAGCUCUUCUCACACUAUGCAACAAUAAGGGCAGCCUGUGGCGUGCACUCCAAGGCCGUGAAGGGGUUCAACUUUUGAUAUCUCUUCUUGGGCUUUCAUCAGAACAACAACAAGAAUGUGCAGUUGCAUUGCUUUGUCUUCUAUCUAAUGAAAAUGAUGAAAGUAAAUGGGCCAUCACUGCUGCUGGUGGUAUUCCUCCGCUUGUUCAAAUUCUUGAGACAGGGUCAGCUAAAGCCAAGGAAGAUUCUGCAGCAAUCCUUAGGAAUCUAUGCAAUCACAGUGAAGACAUACGUGCAUGCGUUGAAAGUGCUGAUGCUGUUCCUGCAUUAUUGUGGCUACUCAAGAAUGGGAGCCCCAAUGGGAAGGAAAUAGCAGCAAAGACUUUAAAUCAUUUAAUCCGUAAAUCUGACAUGGCAACUAUCAGCCAGCUCACUGCAUUGUUAACCAGUGAUCUACCUGAAUCAAAAGUGUAUGUUCUGGAUGCUCUAAGAAGUAUGCUGUCUGUGGUUUCCUUGAGUGAUAUAUUACGGGAAGGUAGUGCUGCAAAUGAUGCAAUAGAGACAAUGAUUAAGUUAUUGAGCUCUACUAAAGAAGAGACUCAGGCAAAGUCUGCCUCGGCUUUGGCUGGAAUUUUCGAAGUCAGAAAGGACUUGCGUGAGAGUGGUAUUGCAGUUAAAACUCUUUGGUCGGUGAUGAAAUUGCUAAACGUUGAAUCUGAGAACAUCUUAGUAGAGUCAUCUCAUUGCCUUGCCGCCAUUUUUCUGUCAAUUAAAGAGAACCGAGAUGUGGCUGCUGUUGCUCGAGAUGCAUUGUCUUCCUUAGUCAUGCUUGCUAACUCCUCAGCUUUGGAAGUUGCAGAGCAGGCAACAUGUGCUCUGGCGAAUCUUAUUUUGGAUGGUGAAGCUUCAGAGAAAGCCAUUCCUGAAGAAAUUAUUCUGCCUGCAACUAGAGUUUUGCAUGAGGGCACAGAGUCUGGAAAGACUCAUGCAGCGGCAGCAAUUGCUCGUCUGCUCCAUUCUCGCAGAAUUGAUUAUGCCAUAACUGAUUGUGUUAAUCGUGCUGGAACGGUUCUUGCAUUAGUUUCAUUUUUAGAAUCCGCUAAUGGCGGACCUGUUGCCACAUCAGAGGCACUAGAUGCACUAGCUAUUCUGUCAAGGUCAGAAGGGGCCAGUGGGCACAUUAAACCAGCAUGGACAGUUUUAGCUGAAUGCCCAAGAAGUAUAACCCCAAUAGUUUCAUCCAUUGCAGAUGCAAAACCUUUGUUGCAGGAUAAAGCUAUUGAAAUAUUGUCACGACUAUGUCGAGAUCAGCCUGUUGUUUUAGGAGACACUGUUGUUACUGCCUCCGGAUGUAUAGCAUUAGUUGCUAGAAGGGUGAUCAAUUCCACAAAUCCAAAGGUCAAAAUUGGAGGAGCUGCACUUCUUAUUUGUGCUGCGAAAGUUAGUCAUCAGAGAGUGGUGGAGGAUCUUAGUCUAUCAAAUUCAUGUACCCAUCUUAUUCAAUCACUUGUUGUAAUGCUUAAUUCUGCAGAGGCUUUUCCUUCGGGAACUCAAGGUGAUGAUGACAAGGAGGUCAUUAGUAUCUGCAGGCAUACUAAAGAAGAAGCUGGGAAUGAUGACUCCAACACUGGAACAGCACUAAUUUAUAGUUAUAACUUAGCUAUUUGGCUACUCUCUGUACUUGCUUGUCACGAUGAGAAAAGUAAAACUGUGAUAAUGGAGGCUGGAGCAGUUGAAGUCCUCACAGACAGAAUUUCACAUUGUUUUUUGCAAUAUAGUCAGGGUGAUUUCAGUGAAGAUGGCAGCAUAUGGAUUUGUGCUUUAUUGCUUGCAAUUCUGUUUCAAGAUAGAGAUAUCAUACGAGCGCAUGCAACAAUGAAAUCUAUACCAGUACUUGCAAAUUUGUUGAAGUCAGAGGAGGCUGCAAACAGAUAUUUUGCUGCUCAAGCAAUUGCAAGUCUAGUCUGUAAUGGUAGUAGGGGAACUCUUCUGUCUGUUGCCAAUUCAGGGGCAGCAGGUGGCCUUAUCUCUUUACUUGGCUGUGCUGAUGUUGAUAUAUCUGAUCUUCUGGAAUUAUCAGAGGAGUUUGCUUUGGUGCGUUAUCCAGACCAAGUUGCUCUUGAGAGGUUGUUCAGGGUUGAAGACAUAAGGGUUGGAGCUACUUCUCGAAAAGCCAUACCUGCCCUUGUCGAUCUACUCAAACCAAUUCCAGACCGCCCAGGGGCACCUUUUCUAGCACUAGGGCUUCUGACCCAGCUUGCAAAGGACUGUCCACCAAAUAAGAUUGUAAUGGUAGAAUCAGGGGCUUUGGAAGCCUUGACAAAGUAUCUUUCACUUGGUCCCCAAGAUGCAACUGAAGAAGCUGCAACUGAUCUGUUAGGGAUCCUAUUUAGCAGUGCUGAAAUUCGGAGACAUGAAUCUGCAUUUGGUGCUGUUAGCCAACUUGUGGCAGUCUUACGCUUGGGUGGAAGAGGUGCUAGGUAUAGUGCUGCUAAAGCGUUGGAAAGCCUGUUUUCUGCUGAUCAUAUCAGGAAUGCAGAAAGUGCCCGACAAGCUGUCCAGCCCUUGGUGGAGAUCCUUAAUACUGGGAUGGAGAAAGAACAACAUGCUGCUAUUGCUGCAUUGGUUAGGUUAUUGAGUGAAAACCCAUCACGAGCGCUUGCAGUUGCAGAUGUUGAGAUGAAUGCAGUUGAUGUACUUUGCAGGAUCCUCUGCUCAAAUUGUUCAAUGGAGCUCAAAGGGGAUGCUGCAGAGUUAUGUGGUGUUCUUUUUGGAAAUACACGAAUCAGGUCCACGAUGGCUGCAGCACGCUGUGUUGAGCCUCUAGUUUCUCUCCUUGUUACUGAGUUUAGUUCUGCACAGCAUUCAGUUGUCCGUGCACUGGACAAACUUGUUGAUGAUGAGCAACUAGCAGAACUAGUUGCUGCACAUGGUGCAGUUAUUCCUCUUGUUGGCCUACUCUAUGGUAGGAAUUACAUGCUUCAUGAGGCUAUUUCCAGAGCAUUAGUGAAGUUAGGGAAAGACAGGCCUGCUUGUAAAAUGGAAAUGGUAAAAGCUGGAGUAAUUGAAAGCACACUUGAUAUUCUCCAUGAAGCACCAGAUUUUCUCUGUGCUUCAUUUGCAGAAUUGCUUAGAAUAUUGACCAAUAAUGCUGCCAUUGCUAAGGGACCAUCUGCAGCAAAGGUGGUUGAGCCUCUUUUCCUGCUGCUAACAAGACCAGAAUUUGGGCCUGAGGGACAACAUAGUGCAUUACAGGUUCUAGUGAACAUUCUGGAGCGUCCACAAUGUCGUGCUGACUACAACCUCACCUCUCACCAAGCUAUUGAACCACUUAUUCCCUUGCUUGAUUCUCCAACUCCAGCAGUUCAACAGUUGGCAGCUGAGCUUCUAUCACAUCUACUCCUGGAAGAACAUCUUCAGAAGGAUCCAUUGACACAGCAAGUAAUUGGUCCCCUCAUACGAGUUCUUGGUUCUGGCAUACACAUCUUGCAGCAGAGAGCUGUCAAGGCUCUUGUUAGCAUUGCACUCACAUGGCCAAAUGAAAUUGCGAAAGAAGGAGGUGUGAAGGAGCUAUCCAAAGUGAUAUUGCAAGCUGACCCUUCUCUUCCUCAUGCCUUGUGGGAAUCUGCUGCUUCUGUAUUAGCUAGCAUUCUGCAAUUUAGUUCUGAAUUUUAUUUGGAAGUGCCUGUUGCUGUGUUGGUAAGGUUGCUUCGAUCUGGAUCAGAAAGUACAGUAAUUGGUGCACUAAAUGCCCUUUUGGUGUUAGAAAGUGAUGACGGAACUAGUGCCGAAGCAAUGGCUGAAAGUGGUGCCAUAGAAGCUCUUUUGGAACUUCUUAGAGGUCAUCAGUCUGAGGAAACAGCUGCAAGGCUUCUGGAAGUAUUACUCAACAAUGUGAAAAUCAGAGAAUCAAAAGCUACUAAAUCUGCAAUCUUGCCCUUGUCCCAGUACCUCUUGGAUCCCCAAACUCAAGCCCAGCAGGCAAGGCUACUGGCAACUUUGGCACUUGGGGAUCUAUUCCAAAAUGAGGGCUUGGCUCGAAGUACUGAUGCAGUUUCAGCCUGCCGUGCUCUAGUCAAUGUCCUUGAAGAGCAGCCUACAGAAGAAAUGAAAGUUGUGGCUAUAUGUGCUUUGCAGAACCUUGUUAUGUACAGCCGGUCUAACAAAAGAGCAGUUGCAGAAGCUGGUGGUGUUCAGGUUGUAUUGGAUUUGAUUGGUUCGAGUGAUCCAGAUACAUCUGUCCAGGCUGCGAUGUUUGUUAAACUUCUCUUCUCCAAUCACACCAUUCAGGAGUAUGCUUCCAGUGAAACAGUUAGAGCUAUAACUGCUGCUAUUGAGAAAGAUUUAUGGGCCACUGGAGUUGUGAAUGAGGAGUAUCUAAAAGCUCUAAAUUCUCUCUUCAGCAACUUCCCACGUCUGAGGGCAACUGAACCUGCAACACUCAGUAUACUUCAUUUGGUUACAUCCCUUAAGACAGGUUCAGAAGCAACUCAAGAAGCUGCCUUGGAUUCACUUUUUCUUCUCAGGCAAGCUUGGUCAGCAUGCCCAGCUGAAGUUUCAAGAGCUCAAUCCCUGGCUGCUGCAGAUGCUAUCCCCUUGUUGCAAUACUUGAUUCAGUCUGGCCCACCCCGAUUUCAGGAGAAAGCUGAAUUCCUGCUGCAGUGUUUGCCUGGUACAUUGUUAGUUAUCAUCAAGCGCGGAAACAACAUGAAGCAGUCAGUGGGAAACCCAAGUGUAUAUUGCAAACUAACACUCGGCCAUACUCCGCCAAGACAAACAAAGAUUGUAUCAACUGGCCCAAAUCCGGAGUGGGAUGAGAGUUUUUUGUGGUCCUUUGAGAGUCCUCCAAAAGGCCAGAAGCUUCAUAUUUCAUGCAAAAAUAAGAGCAAAAUGGGGAAGAGUUCUUUUGGAAAAGUAACGAUCCAGAUUGAUCGGGUUGUAAUGCUAGGAGCAGUUGCUGGAGAGUAUACUCUGUUGCCUGAAAGCAAAAGUGGGCCCUCAAGGAAUUUGGAAAUAGAGUUCCAGUGGUCUAACAAAUCCACUAAUAAUGAUGCAACCACAAAUUGAAUUUUUAGGGAGGAAAUAUUUUCCCAGUAUAGUUAUUAUUAUUAUUUUAAAAAAAUCUUCCCUUCCAAAUUGAGUUAUUUCUCAUUUCAGUGUAAAUAGUUUGCAAAGGAUUUUGAUUUUUGUAGGUGCUUGCCAUUGAGUCAUAAAAGAAAUUGUAAUUUGUUCAAUGUAUUCUUUUGUAAGUUGAUGUUAUUAUAAUCUCUGGAACCAUAUGGACUGAGUUAAAUUCUUCUUUGUUGUUUUUGUACCAAAAAUGUGUGCUUGUCAAUCUG